This 312-nucleotide unclassified non-coding RNA is filed under the name uncultured fungus. Its description in RNAcentral is "partial contains small subunit ribosomal RNA, internal transcribed spacer 1, and 5.8S ribosomal RNA". The stretch from base 1 to 73 matches the Rfam family "Eukaryotic small subunit ribosomal RNA", at positions 1759 to 1831 of the family's 1831-position model. Lineage: Eukaryota; Fungi. The record is from RNAcentral.
GCAAACUUGGUCAUUUAGAGGAAGUAAAAGUCGUAACAAGGUAACCGUAGGUGAACCUGCGGUUGGAUCAUUAAAAAAGAUCAAUCGAUACUUUCCCGAACCCCUUCAAAAAGGGGCGACGGUUAAGACCAUCGACACCAUUUGUGAACUGUGGAAAGGUGGCUUCAUUUUCGGCAGCCCGCUGUCGAAAUGAGUCAUUUUUUUUCCCCACUAUUUUAUGUCUAACCAUGUAUUCGUUUACAUCUUUUGAAUGAACGAAAAACAACUUUUGGCAACGGAUCUCUAGGCUCUCGCAUCGAUGAAGAACGCAGC